RNAcentral lists this unclassified non-coding RNA (2058 nucleotides) under Haliotis rufescens (red abalone). Its description in RNAcentral is "proton myo-inositol cotransporter-like, transcript variant X1". Lineage: Eukaryota; Metazoa; Mollusca; Gastropoda; Lepetellida; Haliotidae. The record is from RNAcentral.
GUUAAACAAGAAAGAAACAAAAGGCAUUGGUACCCACACUCUCAUCUCUAUGUUCACCGUCUGAAGGAGCGUGAAAAAUAAAAAAUGAAAAAAAAUGACUUCAAGAGUUGAAAAUAAUUAGAAUUUAUGAAACAUUUUCCAAACAUGCUUGUGAACUCAUCGUUACUCUGCAAUAUAAAUAGUGCAAAUGUUGCUUAAAAGAUGAAAUAAAGAUACCUUAAUUCUUAAAAUAUACUUCCUUUAAAAUACUACUGGGAUUUUUUCAUGAAAAAGGAAUUUCUUAAUAUAGCGGGAUGAUGUAUAUGAAGCGAGCGAAUAAAUGGAUAUUAUUAAACCAGGCCAGGAGAUGGGACACACACGGGUACACCUAUGUAAUUUUCAACAUAGAGAGUUCAUUCAUCCGACCCCUCACAAUUUGAAAGCAUGAUACAUUUAACCUCAUAAAAAGUAAGCAACUUAAACUUGAAAGAAGACGUGUUGCAUUGAUCACGUGACCUUGUCUGCCCUGCACAAUACAAGAAGUGGUUGCCGACCCAAGUCCGCCCGCACUAACAUUGUGUCAGAACGGUGGCGGGAUGUUCAUGUGAGAAGCACACUUGCUUGAAUAAGACCCUGGGAACCUACAUCUUUCUCCUUCUUGGUUUAAGGUUUCAUAGGACAUCAGGAAAGACACAAUGGCCAUUGAGGGCAAACAGAAGUCAACAGAUGGCCAUCCAUGGCUGGUCUACAUCUCAACAAUAUUUGCAUCUGUUCUGGCUCUUCUUCUAGGCUAUACUCUCGGUAUCAUCUCGGGGGCCAUGCUUCUCCUUGUUGACACGUUUCAACUCGAUACAUUGUGGCAGCAGCUCAUGGCCACAUUCGGCACAGUAGGAUGUGCAUUAGCACUUCUUCCUGCUGGCUACCUGGUCCAGCUUUUGGGAAGGAAGAGGAUGAUCAUUGGAUCAAAUACGUUGACUUGUAUUGGCGCCAUCGUAUCAGCAGCAGCACCAACGAAAGAGGUGGUUCUUGUUGGACGUUUAUUGGCUGGAAUGGGAGCAGGAACUAUAUCCCUCGUCGUGCCAAUGUACAUAUCGGAAUGUGCCCCCGUGGACAUCAGAGGGCGUCUGGGUAGUCUCACACAGGUCCUGAUUUCAAUUGGGGUGUUUCUGUCAUCAGUCGGGGCAGGCGCUCUCAGUGGACUAGGGGAAGCAGGAUGGAGGUGGAUGUUUGCAUGUCCCUGUGCUCUUGGCGUUGUGCUUUUUGUUGGAAGUCUCUUCCUCCCGGAGACUCCUCGGUGGUAUAUGGACAGAGGAAGAGAGGAAGAAGCUGUUUCUGUCCUCAAGCGACUGAGAAAUAACCCGGAUGAAAUCCAAAUAGAACUCAACGACAUAAGAAGAACUGUUGCGGAAGGGAAACGACUGAAACAUGAUAAAGAACAUGGUUCCUCUUUGAUUGGGAGGAUACUAACAACGCCUCCAGUCCGAAGAGCUCUGUUCCUGUCCAUGGUCUUGGCGAUGAUAACACAGGUGACAGGGGCGGCUCCCGUUAUGUACUACACGGGAACUAUACUCAAAAGAGGGGGGUUCGCAGUCACAGAUGCAAUAUGGAUGACAGCAAUACCAACUGCACUGCAGGCUGCAACAGCCUUCAUCAGCACGUGCUUGGUGGAGAGGAUGGGACGCAAACUUCUGUUUCUUGGCUCACAGAUAGGUCUGUUAAUUUCCUUGGUCAUUCUCGGACUUGGCUUCUUCCUCUCCUCGACUCAUUCCCCCGUCGUUAGUGAUGACAUUCAGAGUACCAUCAAUAACGCUACAACAGCUUCCAUGUGUAAUUUAAGAUACCAUCAUCCAACUAACUAAGUCGUCAACGGCAAGCCGCUUUGCAACAAUUGACGAGGGAAGCCUAGAUUCUAUUUCCUUGGAAGGGAGGCCAAAACACACCCAGGACUGCACAUUGGGGUGUUACGAUCUUUAAACAACAUGUGAGCAAUGCAUCGAGUCUUCACAAUGCGGCUUCUGCUACGACGUUCUCUCAAGAGCCACGUGUGUACCCGUGUCGGUAAACGGCAGUGCUACAACA